RNAcentral lists this transfer RNA (73 nucleotides) under Dictyocaulus viviparus (bovine lungworm). It matches the Rfam family "tRNA". Rfam says of the family: Transfer RNA (tRNA) molecules are approximately 80 nucleotides in length. Their secondary structure includes four short double-helical elements and three loops (D, anti-codon, and T loops). The record is from Rfam by way of RNAcentral. Lineage: Eukaryota; Metazoa; Nematoda; Chromadorea; Rhabditida; Metastrongylidae.
GCAUCAGUAGUGUAAUAGAUCAGCACGCCAGACCGAAUAUAUGCAAGUGCGGGUUCGAGUCCCGCCUGAGAUC